AGGGCCAUAUCAUGUUGAAACACCAGUUCCCAUAUAAUCCCUGAAGUUAAGCAACAUGAAGCCUGGUUAGUACUUAGAUGAGUGUUAGCUUGGG
Molecule: ribosomal RNA, 94 nt
Filed under: Acanthosepion pharaonis
Lineage: Eukaryota; Metazoa; Mollusca; Cephalopoda; Sepiida; Sepiidae
Source: RNAcentral